GUUGAAAAGAACUUUGAAGAGAGAGUUCAAGAGUACGUGAAACCGUUCAGGGGUAAACCUGAGAAACCCAAAAGAUCGAAUAGGGAGAUUCAUCGACGACGAAGUCGGCUCCCGUUGGUGUGCGAUACCUCGCUUGGGUCUUCUAGAUCCGAAUGCCGAGGCACGCCACCUGCGGCGUACGAUCGACGACGUAGUCGUGCAAUUCUCCCUUAGUAGAACGUCGCGACCCGUUGUGUGUCGGUCUACGGCCCGAGCUGUUGCCUGUCGCGGCGCCAUCCGGCGCUCGCGACAGAGGCUCGGUCGCCCAGCCGGCUGCACGACGGUACUCUCUGACGGUAUCGGGCCGCAACCAAUCCAUUUUAAGAAUGUGUGUGCGUCAGGCCCGCCGCAAGCUCGGACAGUUCUUACCCGGAGUGUGCGGACGUAAUGCCCUCCCCGGGUCUGGCCAGCUGUUUGCAGGCGGUGUCCUUGGACUGGCCAAGCUUUGAAUUACCGGUCGGCGACGCUACUGCUUUGGGUACUCUCAGGACCCGUCUUGAAACACGGACCAAGGAGUCUAACAUGUGCGCGAGUCAUUGGGACAUGUAAACCUAAAGGCGCAAUGAAAGUGAAGGUGAACGACACUUGUGCCGUUCACCAAGGGAGGAUGGGCCGUCUUAAAUCCCGGCCCCGCACUCCCGGGGCGUCUCGUUCUCAUUGC
This 700-nucleotide ribosomal RNA is filed under the name Euryglossula sp. 3 PK-2012. RNAcentral's name for it is "eukaryotic LSU rRNA". It matches the Rfam family "Eukaryotic large subunit ribosomal RNA", at positions 363 to 783 of the family's 3401-position model. Lineage: Eukaryota; Metazoa; Arthropoda; Insecta; Hymenoptera; Colletidae. The record is from RNAcentral.